Molecule: non-coding RNA, 45 nt
Filed under: Schistosoma mansoni
Lineage: Eukaryota; Metazoa; Platyhelminthes; Trematoda; Strigeidida; Schistosomatidae
Source: RNAcentral
AUCCAGCUGACGAGUCAUAAAUACGACGAAACUCGCGUCCUGGAC